GGCUUCAGAAUAAUUCUCUAUAGAAAAUCAGAGAAACUAAGUAUAGCACCAAGGAGCUUGUGAGGAAGGAAGUUGCAAAAAUGUGACAUGAAUAUUUAUCGGGCGGCAUGACAGGACCAAGCAGCAGCACCUCUUUUUGAAGCGGGAUGAGGUGGUUUCCCGAAGCACUCAAUAUUCAUGAGGUCUGAAACUGGCCCCCUUGGGUGAUGCCCAUCUUUCAUCACACUGGUUUGCUGCCUACGGCCUGCAGAUGAAACAGAAUGGUUGCUUUGCAAGUAAGUCACUGUUGUCACAAAUACACUCUACCCAUUUAACCACCCAAUUCCUCAGCUCCGACAACAAAUAGAAAGGAAACCAAAAGACCACCUGACGUCAGUGAGGGGGAAGGAGGUGACUGCUGGAAGCUUGAAGCAGAUGACUGGCAAAACCUGCUCUGAAGCCAGGUGAAUUUCUGAAAUGAAGGCAACCAAUCUCAUCAGCACCAAAGACGAAGGCUCUAGGCCCACAGGGGGAAAAAUAAAAAGGAAAAAGGAAGGCUCACAUCGGUAGCUGAGACAGUGUUAAUAUCACAUCACCCACCAGGAAGGCCUGUCCAUGAGUUUGCAGACAAAGCACAGGCCUGGAGAUGGUAAGAGCAGCGUGAAGUUGCCAUAGAAGAUUUCCAUUUUCUCACCGGAAGUGAAAUGAACGAAGCCUUCACUGGGCCAAGGGAGAGCAACAGUAAAUGGGUUAAUGAAAAAAACACAGCCUCCUGGGACAAACAAUGAGACUGUUCCACAGGGAAAAGGGAGCAUAUUGUGCAAAAUUGGGAGAAAUUUUAAGUAAACGGCCUUGCUGUCCGAGUUUGGUUUUGGGUUACAAAGGAUUAAUGUACCUUUGAA
This is a long non-coding RNA of Erinaceus europaeus (western European hedgehog), 881 nucleotides long. RefSeq lists it as uncharacterized. Lineage: Eukaryota; Metazoa; Chordata; Mammalia; Eulipotyphla; Erinaceidae. The transcript is spliced from 2 exons. The record is from RefSeq and is a predicted model, not a curated record.